CUAUGCCCAAAGAACCUGCCGCCCGGAAGCAACAACUUCCAUCAAACGGCAAAGAAAAGUUCCUAGGGAGAGAGCUUAGCGCCCAAGCAGCCUGCGCUAGUGCCGAGACAGAACAGGAGAGCAGCAGACAGUGCAGGCCGGGCCAGCCUGCAGGCGGUGGCUGCGGCGGCGCUGGUAGGGCAGACCCGGGCUCCGGAAGGCUCCAGGUCCGGGGGUGGCCGCCGGCCUUGGGCACAGUGCCGGCUUUCGCACCCCUCCCCACGACCGCGAGCAGUGGGCGGAGAGAUUAGAGCAAAGGAAAAGACGGACAAUGCCUGGCCGGGCCGGCGACCUCCGUGCGGCCCCCGCCGGCCCGUCCCUACUCGGGCGGCCAGCUACCGGGCUAAGUUUCCUAAGCCCUGCCUCCAGCCCCGGCGGCGAAAGCUCGGCCGCCGCCUUCCUCCCAGCCGGGCGGUUCCCGCGAGUCUGCGAGGAGGAGGCAGCGUGCGAGCCGAGCCGGGCGCGCAAGGAGGCGGCGCGCGAGGUAAGCGGACGCGCGGGGAGCCGGCGGCGCGCGCCGAAUGAGGCCGGGCGCGCGCGGGGGGACCCGGCACGAAGAGGAAGGAGCGCGGUGGGGAGUUGGGAGCGCGGGGCUCCCCCGGGACCCCCCGCAGCUCCGACGGGGUUUCAGUUGACUCGGACUGCACCGCAGCGAGAGUCCGUUAGGAGUCUCCGCCUGGGCGCGCAGCUGGCCGACCAUCCCGGCCCGCCUCCCCCUCGCUCCCACCAGGAAGGGCAGCCGGGCGAGAGCCAGUGACCUCUCCUCCCGCCAGUGACAGGAACAAGUCUGGCACCAUCAAAGAAGAGCAGAAAUCCAAGUUGCCAAGUCAGAGUGAAGAAGAGAGAGAAGGACAAGUAUGAGUAUUUCAAUGAUAUCUUUCCAUAUCAAUCCAUGUAUUAAUCAGGACUCUCCAUGACAUAAGGAUUAGACAGCAGUUCAAACCAGAUUCGAUUAAAAAGAGACUUCUUUCUUGCUCAUUCAACUAUAAGGUCCAGAGACACCAUAGAUCUGCACCCCAUCUGCAGAUGGAUCCAAGCACACUGAAGAUAACAUCAAAAACCUGUCUUUCUUUUCCCUUCUGGUCCCUGCUUUCCUCUGCCGUGGUUUCCUUCCCAGCAGGCAUCAGCUGCUUAGCAACUGAUGAAGAGUGUGAGGAGUGUGUUUCUUUCCUGAUAAACUUUCAGCCCAGAACGAACAAUCACCAGUCCAGCGUGAGUUGUGGACCACUGGUAGGACUGGAUAGAAGAAUCAACCUCACCCUCACCACACUAACUGAAAGUGAUACUUCUCUUCAAAGGAAAAUCAGAGCACAUUACAGAAAGAAAGAAGAAAAGAAGCUGGGCAGCUCGAAUGAGAUAGAUUAGGGCAUGGCAAAGGCUGGCUGGGGAAGUAGGCGUGACCUGUUAACUACAAGAUCCGGGACACAUGUGCUUAAAUGUUCUCCAAAGCCCUGCACGUGGACUUCUGGCUAACCCGACCAGGUUUUCAACAGGAUGGCCUAGACCUGAGAUCAGCCUGAGGCGUGGGAUCCAAGCACCGGCUCUGAGAACCCAGAUAUAGAAGUUCUCGCGGUUUCCUCAAAAUUUGGACGCUAUUAAAGAAAGGCAGCCAGGAGGAGCAGCUAUCUUGGCUUUCCAAGAAAGCCCAUGCUGGGUUUUUUUGUUUUUGUUUUUUUUUUUUUUUGGUACUGGGGAUCGAACUCGGGUCCGCUUGCAUAGCAGGCGGCAAAAACACUGAGCUAAAUCCCCGGCCCUAACCCAUGCUGCUUUUACCUUUGCUCUUACCCUCUUUUUGUCUUUACUUGGACCAGG
Long non-coding RNA from Heterocephalus glaber (naked mole-rat), 1851 nucleotides. The record is from Ensembl. NCBI's taxonomy places the organism in Eukaryota, Metazoa, Chordata, Mammalia, Rodentia, Bathyergidae.